UACGAGAGCCUCGAGCGUUAUCCGGAAUUAUUGGGCGUAAAGGGUGCGUAGGUUGUUCUGUUAGUCUUUUGUUAAAACCCGGGGCUUAACUUCGGGAUCGCGAUAGAAACGGCAGAACUUGAAAGUGCGAGAGGCGUACGGAACUCAUGGUGUAGGGGUGAAAUCUGUUGAUAUCAUGGGGAACACCGAAAGCGAAAGCAGUACGCUGGCGCAUAUUUGACACUAAAGCACGAAAGCGUGGGUAGCGAAUGGG
This 253-nucleotide ribosomal RNA is filed under the name uncultured bacterium. Its description in RNAcentral is "partial 16S ribosomal RNA". It matches the Rfam family "Bacterial small subunit ribosomal RNA", at positions 524 to 776 of the family's 1533-position model. The record is from RNAcentral.